Molecule: long non-coding RNA, 1181 nt
Organism: Odocoileus virginianus texanus
Lineage: Eukaryota; Metazoa; Chordata; Mammalia; Artiodactyla; Cervidae
Source: RefSeq, a predicted model, not a curated record
ACAGAGGCAAACACAUACAGAGGGAAAAUGAUUUGAAGACAUUGGGAGAAGAGGACCCUCUACAAGCCAAUGAAUGCCUGCAACUACAGAACAUAGGCGAGAACCCUGGAAUGGAUUCUCCAUCAAAGUUCACAGAAGGAACCAACCUGCCAAUGCCUUGAUUUUGGACUUCUGGCCUCUAGAGCAGUGAGACAGUAGAUAAGCCACAAUGAGAAGACGGAUUGGGUCCAGUUUAAAUGAUAUAGAGUUAGGGUUAUUGAGAAGAUCAUUCUGAUUUUCUCAAGGCUGAUAAGAAGAGCAAGAAAAACAAUUUUGUGAAUGACGAGGCACAGGCCACGGAGCCUUUCCAACAUCUGUCGGAGUCUCCCACUUACUCGGGGCCAGAUGCUAAUGGUGUGUGUGCCUCUGCACGUGGAGGAAAGUUUCACUGAUACUAAUGAGCCAUUCACUGCCCUGCAUUCCAGGACUUCUCCCACACGGGCCGGUUCUCAGAUGUUCUGCGUUAAGUGAAACGCAGCACCAUUUCCAUAGCAACCAGAAGCAAGGGCUCCCAGAAGGCCUCACAUUCUAAUGCAGGCCGAGCUCUGGAAGACAUGCAGCGCACUGAUCCAUCUGAUAGCGAACCAUCAUUAUGGAGGGUGUCAUAUUGCCAGGCGCUGUGCGCUGCAUCAAAAACACAAUCCAAACACAGCCCUCAGAGGAACUAAUUCAGAGGUUGAGGCAGACAAGCGAAAAAUACGCAGUGUGAAAAAUGCUACACAGUCCAGGCACAGUCCUGUUUUGAGUCCAUAGGCUGGGAAUCUAACUAGGCUCUAGAGUCAUGAAAAAACAUUUUCUAAACAAGGUGACCUCUGAGACUCCAAGGGCAAGAUGGCAAGCCAGGCAGGAGGGCUCAGGGAGGGUGAGAGGGCUGCUGAUCCAGACAGAAGGUGGAUGCUCGGUAUCUCUAUGGCUGCCGAUGAGGCAGAUCUGAUUUAGAAGUUAUGACUUCGAAACUCCGCUGCACUCUCAACGGCGCUGUGUGACUUGAGGCUUUCGUAAAUCCCAGAACUCCCCUGGCCAGGAUGUCCCAAACUGUUUCGAAACCUCACCCUUCCCUCGGAACUGUGAGACCUGUGGGUUGAACUUCCAACUCUGAAGAAAAGGAGGGCUUACACUGUAACAUGAGCCCUGUCUUUCAA